UCAUCUUAAUGUUGUUUUUUCCUGAAUUUCUAAGAAAUUCAUGUGAACAAGCUUUAUAGUGACUAUAUUUACAUUACCAUUAUUCAGUGGGCAGACUGUAUUUCUGAAAAUUAUUAUAAUUAUAUGAGUUCACAUUUAUUCAUAUAUAAGAAUAACAGUUUUGGUGCUAAGGGUUGAAACCAGGUCCUUCUGCUUGGCCACCCAGGUGUAACUGCCACCAAGCAGUUCUCCUUACCCCAAGAAUAAUUUCUAGGGAGGGAAAGUGUUUCCAAAAUACUGCCUUUGAAUACUCGUUUAUCUUGAUUCCAUUCUGUUUAUUUAGUGAAAUUACACCAGAAGGAAGAAGAAUUACAAAACUAGAUCAGAUUUUACUAAAUGGAAAUAAUAUAACGAUGCUGGUUCCUGGAGGAGAAGGGCCUGAAGUAUGAGUGGAUUUCCUUGACUUAUUCUGGCUUUUAAAAAACCUUUAUUGUUUAGAUUCUAUAAAAUGAAGUUUCCGUUAAAAGGAAAUACUUUGAAGAUAUACACCCAUUUUUCUAAGCUAAUCAUGGUUAUUUUGGGAAAGGAAGAGUUUUGUUUUGUUUUUUAAAGACUUAAAAAAAUAAAAAUGUUUUUGGUUAA
Molecule: long non-coding RNA, 621 nt
Organism: Arvicola amphibius (Eurasian water vole)
Lineage: Eukaryota; Metazoa; Chordata; Mammalia; Rodentia; Cricetidae
Exons: 2
Source: RefSeq, a predicted model, not a curated record